RNAcentral lists this ribosomal RNA (405 nucleotides) under uncultured bacterium. Its description in RNAcentral is "partial 16S ribosomal RNA". It matches the Rfam family "Bacterial small subunit ribosomal RNA", at positions 28 to 526 of the family's 1533-position model. The record is from RNAcentral.
GACGAACGCUGGCGGCGUGCUUAACACAUGCAAGUCGAGGGACCGGCGCACGGGUGAGUAACACGUAUCCAACCUGCCCUUUACUCGGGGAUAGCCUUUCGAAAGAAAGAUUAAUACCCGAUAUAAAGGAUGGGGAUGCGUUCCAUUAGGUUGUUGGUGAGGUAACGGCCCACCAAGCCUUCGAUGGAUAGGGGUUCUGAGAGGAAUGUCCCGCACAUUGGAACUGGGACACGGUCCAAACUCCUACGGGAGGCAGCAGUGGGGAAUCUUCCGAAAUGGACGAAAGUGUGACGGGGCAACGCCGCGUGAGUGAUGACGGCUUCGGGUUGUAAAGCGCUUUUAUUCGGGACACGGUACCGGAAUAGAAAGCCACGGCUAACUACGUGCCAGCAGCCGCGGUAAUAC